RNAcentral lists this ribosomal RNA (858 nucleotides) under Leuconostoc pseudomesenteroides. RNAcentral's name for it is "bacterial SSU rRNA". It matches the Rfam family "Bacterial small subunit ribosomal RNA", at positions 28 to 867 of the family's 1533-position model. Lineage: Bacteria; Bacillati; Bacillota; Bacilli; Lactobacillales; Lactobacillaceae. The record is from RNAcentral.
GAUGAACGCUGGCGGCGUGCCUAAUACAUGCAAGUCGAACGCACAGCGAAAGGUGCUUGCACCUUUCAAGUGAGUGGCGAACGGGUGAGUAACACGUGGACAACCUGCCUCAAGGCUGGGGAUAACAUUUGGAAACAGAUGCUAAUACCGAAUAAAACUCAGUGUCGCAUGACACAAAGUUAAAAGGCGCUUUGGCGUCACCUAGAGAUGGAUCCGCGGUGCAUUAGUUAGUUGGUGGGGUAAAGGCCUACCAAGACAAUGAUGCAUAGCCGAGUUGAGAGACUGAUCGGCCACAUUGGGACUGAGACACGGCCCAAACUCCUACGGGAGGCUGCAGUAGGGAAUCUUCCACAAUGGGCGAAAGCCUGAUGGAGCAACGCCGCGUGUGUGAUGAAGGCUUUCGGGUCGUAAAGCACUGUUGUAUGGGAAGAACAGCUAGAAUAGGGAAUGAUUUUAGUUUGACGGUACCAUACCAGAAAGGGACGGCUAAAUACGUGCCAGCAGCCGCGGUAAUACGUAUGUCCCGAGCGUUAUCCGGAUUUAUUGGGCGUAAAGCGAGCGCAGACGGUUGAUUAAGUCUGAUGUGAAAGCCCGGAGCUCAACUCCGGAAUGGCAUUGGAAACUGGUUAACUUGAGUGCAGUAGAGGUAAGUGGAACUCCAUGUGUAGCGGUGGAAUGCGUAGAUAUAUGGAAGAACACCAGUGGCGAAGGCGGCUUACUGGACUGUAACUGACGUUGAGGCUCGAAAGUGUGGGUAGCAAACAGGAUUAGAUACCCUGGUAGUCCACACCGUAAACGAUGAACACUAGGUGUUAGGAGGUUUCCGCCUCUUAGUGCCGAAGCUAACGCAUUAAGUGU